Molecule: ribosomal RNA, 1243 nt
Filed under: metagenome
Description: bacterial SSU rRNA
Rfam family: Bacterial small subunit ribosomal RNA
Source: RNAcentral
CUUGUUGGCGGGGUAACGGCCCACCAAGGCAACGAUCAGUAGGGGUUCUGAGAGGAAGGUCCCCCACAUUGGAACUGAGACACGGUCCAAACUCCUACGGGAGGCAGCAGUGAGGAAUAUUGGUCAAUGGGCGAGAGCCUGAACCAGCCAAGUAGCGUGCAGGACGACGGCCCUAUGGGUUGUAAACUGCUUUUAUAAGGGAAUAAAGUGAGUCUCGUGAGACUUUUUGCAUGUACCUUAUGAAUAAGGACCGGCUAAUUCCGUGCCAGCAGCCGCGGUAAUACGGAAGGUCCGGGCGUUAUCCGGAUUUAUUGGGUUUAAAGGGAGCGUAGGCCGGAGAUUAAGCGCGUUGUGAAAUGUAGACGCUCAACGUCUGCACUGCAGCGCGAACUGGUUUCCUUGAGUACGCACAAAGUGGGCGGAAUCCGUGGUGUAGCGGUGAAAUGCUUAGAUAUCACGAAGAACUCCGAUUGCGAAGGCAGCUCACUGGAGCGCAACUGACGCUGAAGCUCGAAAGUGCGGGUAUCGAACAGGAUUAGAUACCCUGGUAGUCCGCACGGUAAACGAUGGAUGCCCGCUGUUGGUCUGAAUAGGUCAGCGGCCAAGCGAAAACAUUAAGCAUCCCACCUGGGGAGUACGCCGGCAACGGUGAAACUCAAAGGAAUUGACGGGGGCCCGCACAAGCGGAGGAACAUGUGGUUUAAUUCGAUGAUACGCGAGGAACCUUACCCGGGCUUGAAUUGCAGAGGAAGGAUUUGGAGACAAUGACGCCCUUCGGGGUCUCUGUGAAGGUGCUGCAUGGUUGUCGUCAGCUCGUGCCGUGAGGUGUCGGCUUAAGUGCCAUAACGAGCGCAACCCCUCUCCUUAGUUGCCAUCAGGUCAUGCUGGGCACUCUGGGGACACUGCCACCGUAAGGUGUGAGGAAGGUGGGGAUGACGUCAAAUCAGCACGGCCCUUACGUCCGGGGCUACACACGUGUUACAAUGGCAGGUACAGAGAGACGGUCCCUUGCAAAAGGGAUCAAAUCCUCAAAGCCUGUCUCAGUUCGGACUGGGGUCUGCAACCCGACCCCACGAAGCUGGAUUCGCUAGUAAUCGCGCAUCAGCCAUGGCGCGGUGAAUACGUUCCCGGGCCUUGUACACACCGCCCGUCAAGCCAUGAAAGCCGGGGGCGCCUAAAGUCCGUGACCGUAAGGAGCGGCCUAGGGCGAAACUGGUAAUUGGGGCUAAGUCGUAACAAGGUA